GUCUCACUGCUUUCCCUGCAGUCAGAUUCCAGCUAGUGGCAGUUACUUCUGUUCCAUAAUGCAUCAAGGAAUACGGAGAUCCAAUGGAGAAGAGCAGUGCAAUGCUGAGAAACCUGCUAGGAUUCUGCAGAGCCUCGUCUUUGGCCACUGUCUUCUUUUGUUUGAGAACUGGAAAGAGCAGGAAUAGAGAGGAGUGUGAUGGACCCACCGCUGGCCAAGGCCAAAGCAGCCAGAGGAGGUGGUAAUGCCUUUGUGAUAUCAUACUUAAGAAGCAAAAGAGAAGUUACAGUGCAGAUGUAAUUGGGCUCAGAGAAGAGCAGAGUUAGAGUAAGAAGAGCAGCCCUGCAGACACCAAGGCUGGUGAAGGAGGGGCAGGAGGUGCUCCAGGCACCAGAGCUGAGGUUCCCCUGCAGCCGUGGUGGGACUGUGGUGAGGCAGCUGCGGCCCUGCAGCCAUGGAGGUUCCUGAGGGUGCAGAGACCCACCGGCAGACCCUGGAGGAGACCUACACUGGAGCAGAUGCAUGCCCAAAAGAAGGCUGUGACUCUGUGGGAAGUCUGCACUGUAACAGGCUCCUGGAAGGACCGGUGGAUAGAGGAGCCCAUGCAGCAGCGGGUUUGCUGGUGGGAGCUGUGACCCUGUUAGCCAUGAACACUGGAGCAGGCAGUUCUUGAAGGACUGCACCUUCAUGAGGACCUGCAGCCCAUGGCAAUGAUUCACACUGGAGAGGUUUGUGGAGAACUGUCUCCUGUGGAGGGACCCACGUGGGAGCAAUGAAAGGGCUCCGUUCCCUGAGAAGCAUCAGAAACAAUCUGUGAUGACUUGAUCAUAACCCCCAUUCUUCACCUUCCUGCACCACUGGAGAGGAGGAGCAUGUGAUCUGCAUGUGAUCUAGAGUUCUCCUCCUUCUCUGCUUCCCUGCUGGCUCUGAAUGAUUUGUGACUGCAUUCCACAAAGAUCCAGUGUGACAAGGGCAGAAGAAUACAUUAAAAGACUUUUUUUAGAGGUGAUCUUAAAACUCUGAUUUUUGUUAAUUCAACCUUUUUUUUUUUUCAAUUAAAAUAUCUGACCACUAGUAGCUUAAUUUGACUCAUUGAUGCUAAUGGUCCAUGUCCACCUCUGUUUCUAUGGAAAUUGCUGCCAGCCUGAAGAGCAAGGAAAGAUUUUAAAUAUAUUCUUCACAGAAGCUGUUACUUAUUGGAUGUCCUUUAUUGCUAAAAUCUGACUUAGAAUGUAUUCUGGUAACAAAACAAAAGCACUGCUAAACAGCUUCUAGUAAUGCUAGUUGAGGACCAAAUUUACCAAAAUACAUUUUCAAGUAUAUACAGAAGAAAAUCCCAGGUUCACUGGCUUCUUGAUCUUGAUUUGUUAUUGUUUUGCAUCAAGUAGAAUAAUUCGCCAGAUCAGAAAGAUUAUAUCAAAUGCUAUGGAAGUAGGAUGGGUGAAUAAAGCAUUACCAA
Zonotrichia albicollis (white-throated sparrow) is the source of this 1459-nucleotide non-coding RNA. NCBI's taxonomy places the organism in Eukaryota, Metazoa, Chordata, Aves, Passeriformes, Passerellidae. The record is from RefSeq and is a predicted model, not a curated record.